AAGCAGGCAACCAGAGCCAGUAGCAGCAACCCGUUUGGGUCCCCUUCCACGCUGUGGAAGCUUUGUUCUUUCGCUCUUCGCAAUAAAUCUUGCUGCUGCUCACCCUUUGGGUCUGCACUACCUUUAUAAGCUGUAACACUCACCGAGAAGGUCUGCAGCUUCACUCCUGAAGCCAGCGAGACCACGAGCCCAGCGGGAGGAAUGAACAACUCCGGAUGCGCCGCCUCUAUGAGCUGUAACACUCACCACGAAGGUCUGCAGCUUCACUCCUGAAGCCAGUGAGACCACAAACCCAUUGGGAGGAAUGAACAGCUCUGGACGUGAUGCCUUUAAGAGCUGUAACACUCACUGUGAAGGUCUGCAGCUUCACUCCUGAAGUCGGCAAGACCACGAACCCACCAGAAGGAAGAAACUCCGGACACAUCUGAACAACUGAAGGAACAAACUCCGGACACACCAUCUUUAAGAACUGUAACACUCACCGUGAGGGUCCAUGGCUUCAUUCUUGAAGUCAGCGAGACCAAGAACCCACCAAUUCCAGGCACACUUGUACUUGGUAGCACAAUAGGUCCCAUGGGAAGAGGUAACCUCAGGAAACUCUGGGCUGCUGGAGAAGAGUUUUGUGAGUUAUCUAAUAACCUGGUUGUCAGCCACAUGGCACAACAAAGCUGUCCAGACAUUUAGGUUCCUCGGAUGCCAUGAGAUAAAAAUUUGCACUUAUGCCUGCAUCUACUUUUCCCUUUCUAACAGAGUAACAUGCACAUUUGGCUAUUUGUUGGACUGAUUUGCACGGCCAUAGUUUCCUAGAAGGAUUUUAAAACAGACUGGGCUGCCUACACUGCAGAUAAACAGUUUGGAAGCUGUACAUUAAAAUGAACUUAGAGGUCUCUAGUUGGAUUUUGGUGAAGUGUUUGCAACACCAUUUACCUAUCUGGAUAAUUCUGUCAUGUACAAAGUACUCUCCAAUAAUUCAGAUGUCCAAUAAUGCAGAUCCUGUAUUACCCAUAUGCUGUUAGCCCUUUCAAUCCUUUGUGCAGGCUUACCUAGAAAUAAAGGAAAAAAUGUUCUUCCCACCUUGCUUGAUAAGAUAACAACAAUGUGUUUGGUUUUUAAUGUAACUGGAAAAAAAAAAAGAUGGAAGAAAAAAAGGCCAAUUCCAACAUCUGGAUGAAAUUUAUUACAUACCUCUCUGGGACCCCCUGGUUCCUGAAUGAUUUGGCUUAUUAUCCCUUUUCCAAGUCUUCAGAGACUCAAUGACUCGAAUGUCAGGGAAUGAUACUUUGCUGCCGGAUACUACAAAGUUGGUUUAAAGAGGUUGUAGAAAUGCUGUAGCUGUAACCAAGCUCCUCACAGGGGGAGGUGGGGCAGCACAUGCCAUGUAAGCAUGCUCACAUAUUUCUGUGUGGAUACCCAGUUGGAAAGUUAUUUGCCACUUCUGGAGAAGCUGGAAGUUGUCGACUAUACAGAUAGAUAAAGAGAGGGGUUGGUUAAUGGGUACAAAAAUACAGUUAGAUACAAGGAAUAAGAUCUAGUGUUGGGUAGCACAAAAGGGCAACUAUAGUUAACAAUAAUUUAUUACAUAUUUCAAAAUAAAAGCGUAGAGUUGGAGUAUUCCUAACACAAUGAUAAACGCUUGAGGUGAUGGAUAUCCCAAUUAUCCUGAGUUGAUCAUUAUAUAUUUUAUGCAUGUAUGAAAAUAUCACAUGCACCUUAUAAAAUGUGCAACUAUUAUGUAUCCAUAAAAUUUUUUUAAAUGUUUUAAAGCUUGGGGGAUCCAAGUUUGCUGCUUACUUCCAAUCUGAUGCAUCACCAAUCUGAGGCAGGCCCCAAACUUUGGCAACAAGGUAUGAGGUAAGCACCACUUUAGUGCAGGGAGGGUAACCUGGUUGAGAAAUUGACUGAUUUUCUGUAGUGUCUGCCAUUUCUGUUCUUCACAAAAGAAUAGACCAUUCCUAUCUUCCUCCACACUCCCAAUCCCAAAGGGUAACCAGGGCUUUUUGUUCUGGAGAUCAGGCUUUCUCUCAUCUCAGGAAAAAAAAAAAAAGAAGAAGAAAAAAAAGGAAAGGAAAAAGAGAAAGAAACAAAGAAAAGAAAUUGAGCUGCGUGUGGUGGCUCAUGUCUAUAAUCUCAGGAGGUUGAGGCAGGAGGAGCACUUGAGCCUAGGAGUGAGCUAUGAUCACACCACUGCACUCCAGCUUCGGCAAGAGAGCGAGACGCUGUUUCAAAAAAGAAAGAGGCCAGGAGCAGUGGCUCAUGCCUGUAAUCCCAGCACUUUGGGAGGCCAAGGUGGGUGGAUCACCUAAGGUCGGGGGCUUGAGACCAGCCAACAUGGAGAAACUCCGUCUCUACUAAAAAUACAAAAUUACCUGGGCUUGGUGGCUCAUGCCUGUAAUCCCAGCAACUUGGGAGGCUGAGGCAGAAGAAUCACUUGAAUCUGGGAGGCAGAGGUUGUGGUGAGCCGAGAUCGGGCCAUUGCACCAUGGGCAACAAGAGCGAAACUCCAUCUCCAAAAAAGAAAAAAAAAGAAAGAAAUCAGGCCAGGCACAGUGGCUCACGCCUGUAAUCCCAACACUCUGGGAGGCCGAGGCAGGUGGAUUACCUGAGGUCAGGGAUUUGAGACCAGCCUGGCCAACAUGGUGAAACCCCGUCUCUAUUAAAAAUAGAAAAAAUUAGCUGGGCAUGGUGGUGGGCACCUGUAAUCCCAGCUACUCAGGAGGCUGAAGCAGGAGAAUCGUUUGAACCUGGGAGGCAGAGGUUGCAGUGAGCUGAGAUUGUGCCAUUGCUCUCCAGCCUGGAUAGCAAGAGUGAAACUCUGUCAAAAAAAAAAAAAAAAAAGAGAGAGAGAGAGGAAGGAAGGAAAGAAAGAGGGAGGGAAGGAAGGGAGGGAAGGAAAUAAAGCGAAGAAAGAAAUCAACAAGCUUUUGUUUUAAAAAAUUAACCCAGUCUUAGAGGCAAUAAAACUGUUUUGUCUGAGAGGAGGAAGGAUUUGUAGAAUUAGAAGAGGGCAGAGGAGAAUUUCCUGAGCCUGGCUUUGAGGCAUGGUGCUGAGGAGCACUGCAGCCUCCUUUUGUGGCCAGGUCCUGCUCCAGGCCUCCCACAGACCGCUGGGACCAGAGGGCCUUCAAUGGGGAUGACAGUGUGCUCAGGGAGGUAAGCAAAGGCACUGCUGAUCCCGAGCCUCAGCAGAGGUCUUCAUGCCAUAGAGAAACCUGGAGAAAGGGUCGUAGAAUUGUUUUGGGCAAAGAGCGCCAGGGGUGACAGGCACCCUCAUCUAAGAGACAUCUUCCCCCCAGUAUGUGUAAGCUCCUGAUAAAGGACCAAGAUUGGAUUUGCUACUCAUUGUUGGAUGGAAGCCAAGGGUAUUUAAUUUAGAAAAUUAAAGAAAUGUGACAUUUCCACCACCUGUAUGUCAGGGAACAAAGUAAUACCUGUUUAACACCAGGCUCCACACUUUCCUUUAAAGUCUUUUAGGUUUCCUGGCUCAAAGAAGCCUCCAGCUUGAUUUGUUGAACUGUGCCUCUCAGGAGCUGAAGGCAGGCAGUGUUCCAGGAUAUGUGCAUAUGGGGGUGCAUGCUGCUCUGUGAAGGAGCUUUGCACUUGGGCCCCAUUCCAGUCCCUCCCUUACCAAUUCAAUAGGAGCCUGAGUCAAUGGUGGACUCAGACAAAGACAUUCCCUGAAAAAGAGAGGAAAGGAAGCUGGGCAGAAGUUGCAUGCAGGACUGGGAUUGCUCAGGAUUGGGGCUCCUGAAGCCUUGCUGCGAAACACAUCCUCAAGUCUGCACUGCCUCCCGGUGGCCACACCAGAGCUCAGCUCUGCACUUGGUAUGGAGAAAAGACUGCAUGGGAUGUGUGUGUUUCUUCCGGCUGGAGCUCUUUGGAGACUCAUCAGAAACCUUGAUGAGAUACAGAAUUCCGAAGGAAGAGGAAGCCUUAGUGAGGAAGGGGGUGAGUUCUGUUUACUCUGAAGUAUCUGUGGAAUACACUGAAAUAUAGAUAUCUAGGAAUCUGUCAAAAUAAAAAUCUAAAGGUCAGGAGAGAGAUCUAAACUAGACAUGCAGAUAGGAGUGUUAUUAUCAUAUACGUAGUAAUUAAAACCAGGGGAACAGAUGAGAUCACCCAGGGAAAAUGGGAAUAGUGACAAGGGCUGAGUUCCAAGGACUACACUCUAGAGUGGGCGGAAAGGUUUGGUGAUAUCAUCUUAUGUAUUUUUCUGGGGCUUUGGAAUUUCUCAACUCAUUAUCAUACUCAUUAUCUUUCAUACUCAUUAUCUUAAUUCUCAUCUGGGAGGUUCUAUAAAAUACCUGGUAAAACGAGGUGUGACUGGGAUGAUGCCAACACUGCAAGAAAUCCAAUCUAUCGGACAGGCAGGAGGUGGGGCCUGGACACAGUGUCACAAGGGAUAGUGAUUCCCAAUGGUAGGCUUGAAGCCCCAGGUUAGCAUCACACGGAAUGACUCCUAAGAGCACUUGAAGCUCUUGCCUAGGCUAUUGGUGAAGAGCAUAGCUGGUCCAUGGCGCUGGGUUAGAAAGGCUGUUGCGGGACAGUGGCCAACCUGACAAAAGCUCUGCAGCGGGAGCUUAUCUCCAGAAGCAGAUGCAGCCUGCCUGCCUCUGCAUGUCCUACAGGCAGCAGUCCACCGGACCGAGCUGAGGAAUGGUCUUCCCAACUGGGAAGACAGGCAUCCUUUCCAGAGACAGAAAUAUGGCAACCAGAGUACUUGCUCCUUUCUGAGUGACUGGGGUUGGUGGGAGACAUGAAGCCUGACCUGGCCCUACAAGGAGGUCUGUAAGGCAGAGGGGUAGAAUGCAAGGCAGAGAUAAAUGCAAUGAGGUGACUCCUUUGGUAGAGUCCCCACUUCCUUCAGUUGGUCUCACCUACUCUGAACGUACUUCCUCCCAUAGUAUUUCAGAGUUUCCCUGUGUUAUAAUGUGUUAUUGUGCACCUAUUCACAUGCUCCCUUGAGUUCCUCAGGCUGUUCAUCCGUGUGGCUUCUCCAGGGUUUGCCUA
This 5007-nucleotide long non-coding RNA is filed under the name Homo sapiens (human). RNAcentral describes it as "HSALNT0266560". The record is from RNAcentral. Lineage: Eukaryota; Metazoa; Chordata; Mammalia; Primates; Hominidae.